This 850-nucleotide ribosomal RNA is filed under the name uncultured Sphingobacteriia bacterium. RNAcentral describes it as "bacterial SSU rRNA". It matches the Rfam family "Bacterial small subunit ribosomal RNA", at positions 58 to 902 of the family's 1533-position model. Lineage: Bacteria; Pseudomonadati; Bacteroidota; Sphingobacteriia. The record is from RNAcentral.
CAAGUCGAGGGGCAGCAUGGGUGUAGCAAUACAUCUGAUGGCGACCGGCAAACGGGUGCGGAACACGUACAGAACCUUCCUUCGAGCGGAGAAUAGCCCGGAGAAAUCCGGAUUAAUACUCCAUAGUAAAUUGAAAAGGCAUCUUUUUAAUUUUAAAGAUUUAUCACUUGAAGAUGGCUGUGCGCCUGAUUAGGUAGUUGGCGGGGUAACGGCCCACCAAGCCUACGAUCAGUAACUGGUGUGAGAGCACGACCAGUCACACGGGCACUGAGACACGGGCCCGACUCCUACGGGAGGCAGCAGUAAGGAAUAUUGGUCAAUGGACGCAAGUCUGAACCAGCCAUGCCGCGUGGAGGAUGAAGGUCCUCUGGAUUGUAAACUUCUUUUAUCUGGGAAGAAACCCAUGGAUUCUUCUGUGGUUGACGGUACCAGAUGAAUAAGCACCGGCUAACUCCGUGCCAGCAGCCGCGGUAAUACGGAGGGUGCAAGCGUUAUCCGGAUUCACUGGGUUUAAAGGGUGCGUAGGUGGGUUGGUAAGUCAGUGGUGAAAUCUCCGGGCUUAACCCGGAAACUGCCAUUGAUACUAUCAGUCUUGAAUACCGUGGAGGUCAGCGGAAUAUGUCNUGUAGCGGUGAAAUGCUUAGAUAUGACAUAGAACACCAAUUGCGAAGGCAGCUGGCUACACGAAUAUUGACACUGAGGCACGAAAGCGUGGGGAUCAAACAGGAUUAGAUACCCUGGUAGUCCACGCCCUAAACUAUGGAUACUCGACAUUUGCGAUACACUGUAAGUGUCUGAGCGAAAGCAUUAAGUAUCCCACCUGGGAAGUACGAUCGCAAGAUUGAAACUC